Molecule: ribosomal RNA, 1182 nt
Filed under: Microsporidium sp. BIOPC
Lineage: Eukaryota; Fungi; Microsporidia
Description: bacterial SSU rRNA
Rfam family: Microsporidia small subunit ribosomal RNA
Source: RNAcentral
CUGGGGCCAAGUCUUAUAGGGCGUUGUGGCCAAGCCUGCAUGCUUGCGAAGUGCGUUGUGCUGCGGAGCGGCAGACGGCUCAGUAAUACUGCGAUGAUUUGUUCGGGGAGGCCGUGUAGCCGCGGGAAACUGUGGGUAGGCGGCUGGGCUGCACUGGGUUGCUGGGGCGGUGUCUGAGUAAGUUGCAGCCCUAUUAGCUGGUAGCUAGGGUAAUGGCCUAGCUAGGCGAUGAUGGGAGACGGGGAAUUUGGGUUUGGUUCCGGAGAGGGAGCCUGAGAGAUGGCUACUACGUCCAAGGAUGGCAGCAGGCGCGGAACUUGCCGAAUCCUUUUGGGAGGCAGUUAGCAAGCGUUGGGUUUGUUUGGAAUUGCAAAGAGAUUCCUUGAGAUUGGAGGGCAAGUCGGGUGCCAGCAGCCGCGGUAAUACCUGCUCCAAGAGUGUCUAUGGUGGAUGCUGCAGUUAAAAGGUUCGUAGUUGUGUUGCUUGCGCAUGUUUUGUGUGCCUGUGUGUGUGGCGGGCUGUGGAUGUGUGCGGCGAUGUGCGCAACAGACGGGGGGCACUGGAUAGUUGGGCGAGAGGUGAAAUGCGACGACCCUGACUGGACAGACGGAGGCGAAGGCGGUGCUCUUGGAUGGAUGUGAGGAUCAAGAACGAAGGCUGGAGGAUCGAAAUCGAUUAGAUACCGUUUUAGUUCCAGCAGUAAACGAUGCCGACUGGAUGGUGUGUGUUGCACUGUGCGCGAGAAAUCUGUGAGUGUGUGGGCUCUGGGGAUAGUAUGAUCGCAAGAGGGAAACUUAAAGAGAUUGACGGAAGGACACCACCAGGAGUGGAGUGUGCGGCUUAAUUUGACUCAACGCGGGACAACUUACCAAUGCCGAGAUGUGUUUGAGAGCGGAACGCGAGACGCGUGGCGGUGGUGCAUGGCCGUUUGAAAUGGAUGGCGUGAGCUGAGGAUUAAUUUCCGGAAGAUGUGAGACCCUUUGACUGCGUUUGUGGAGAGCGAGGAGGGGAGGGAACACAACAGGUCCGUUAUGCCCUGAGAUGUGUUGGGCUGCACGCGCACUACGAUAUUCUGCGGUUGCGGAGAUGUGCGGGAUUGAUGCUUGUGAAUGUGUCAUGAACGUGGAAUUCCUAGUAAGGGCUGUUCUUAGGCUUGAAGGUGCAGAAAGGCUGAACUGAGGA